Trachemys scripta elegans is the source of this 859-nucleotide RNA transcript. It is a transcript of the gene named ribosomal protein S9, with no coding region annotated. Lineage: Eukaryota; Metazoa; Chordata; Testudines; Emydidae. The transcript has 6 exons. The record is from RefSeq and is a predicted model, not a curated record.
AGGGCGGAGCCGUUCCUGUGCCGUAUAUAAGGCGGCCCCAGAGUCCCUCGCUCUCUUUUUUUCAACCGCCAUCGCUGGGGCAGUUCGGGUGAGAGCCCACAGCCUCGGCCAGGAUGCCCGUUGCCAGGAGCUGGGUGUGCCGGAAGACCUAUGUCACCCCCCGGCGCCCCUUCGAGAAAUCCCGUCUCGACCAGGAGCUGAAGCUCAUUGGCGAGUACGGGCUGCGGAACAAACGUGAGGUUUGGCGGGUGAAGUUCACCCUGGCCAAGAUCCGCAAGGCGGCCCGUGAGCUGCUCACGCUGGACGAGAAAGACCCUAAGCGCCUCUUUGAAGGCAACGCCCUGCUGCGACGGCUGGUGCGCAUCGGGGUGCUGGACGAGGGCAAGAUGAAGCUGGAUUAUAUCCUGGGCCUCAAGAUCGAGGAUUUUCUGGAGCGGCGCCUCCAGACCCAGGUCUUCAAGCUGGGCCUGGCCAAGUCCAUCCACCACGCCCGGGUGCUGAUCCGCCAGAGACACAUCCGCCCUCCUGGAUGAGCCUGUGAGGCACGUGGAGCCCCCUGCCCAGUGGGCCUGGGGAGCCCCCCAGUCGGGCUAAGCCGGCGCGCCGGCUAGCGGGCGGUAGGGCCGCCCGUCUCGGCAAGGUUCACUGCGGCAGAGCCGUACACCUUGCGAAGGGCCAAGGCCGUUCCACCAGCCCCCUGCGCUCGGGGCUGCUGCACAGUGUGCGGAAGCAGGUCGUGAACAUCCCGUCCUUCAUUGUGCGCCUGGACUCGCAGAAGCACAUCGACUUCUCGCUGCGCUCGCCCUACGGGGGCGGCCGGCCUGGCCGCGUCAAGAGGAAGAACGCCAAGAAGGGGCAG